GACGAACGCUGGCGGCGUGCUUAACACAUGCAAGUCGAACGGAAAGGCCCUGCUUUUGUGGGUUGCUCGAGUGGCGAACGGGUGUGUAACCCGUGAGUAACCUGCCCUUGUCUUUGGGAUAUCUUCAGGUAACUGGGGCUACUACCGGCUAGGAGCUCCUGCUGCAUGGUGGGGGUUGGAACGUUUCGGCGGUUGGGGAUGGACUUGCGGCUUAUCAGCUUGUUGGUGGGGUAGUGGCUUACCAAGGCUUUGACGGGUAGCCGGCCUGAGAGGGUGACCGGCGACAAGGGGACUGAGAUACGGACCAGACUCCAACGGGAGGCAGCAGGGGGGAAGAGAGCACAAUGGGAGGAAGCGUGAUGCAGCAACGCCGCGUGCGGGAAGACGGGCUGCGGGUUGAAAACCGAAGUCGCAUGAGACGAAGCGAGAGUGACGGUAAUGGGUAAAGAAGCACCGGCUAACUACGUG
RNAcentral lists this ribosomal RNA (468 nucleotides) under uncultured bacterium. RNAcentral's name for it is "partial 16S ribosomal RNA". It matches the Rfam family "Bacterial small subunit ribosomal RNA", at positions 28 to 507 of the family's 1533-position model. The record is from RNAcentral.